RNAcentral lists this ribosomal RNA (465 nucleotides) under Vreelandella stevensii. RNAcentral describes it as "partial 16S ribosomal RNA". It matches the Rfam family "Bacterial small subunit ribosomal RNA", at positions 338 to 795 of the family's 1533-position model. Lineage: Bacteria; Pseudomonadati; Pseudomonadota; Gammaproteobacteria; Oceanospirillales; Halomonadaceae. The record is from RNAcentral.
CCUAUGGGUGGCUGCAGUGGGGAAUAUUGGACAAUGGGCGAAAGCCUGAUCCAGCCAUGCCGCGUGUGUGAAGAAGGCCUUCGGGUUGUAAAGCACUUUCAGUGGGGAAGAAAGCCUUGGGGCUAAUACCCUCGAGGAAGGACAUCACCCACAGAAGAAGCACCGGCUAACUCCGUGCCAGCAGCCGCGGUAAUACGGAGGGUGCGAGCGUUAAUCGGAAUUACUGGGCGUAAAGCGCGCGUAGGCGGUCUGAUAAGCCGGUUGUGAAAGCCCCGGGCUCAACCUGGGAACGGCAUCCGGAACUGUCAGGCUAGAGUGCAGGAGAGGAAGGUAGAAUUCCCGGUGUAGCGGUGAAAUGCGUAGAGAUCGGGAGGAAUACCAGUGGCGAAGGCGGCCUUCUGGACUGACACUGACGCUGAGGUGCGAAAGCGUGGGUAGCAAACAGGAUUAGAUACCCCUGUAGUC